This 629-nucleotide ribosomal RNA is filed under the name Notomabuya frenata. RNAcentral describes it as "partial 12S ribosomal RNA". It matches the Rfam family "Bacterial small subunit ribosomal RNA", at positions 319 to 1270 of the family's 1533-position model. Lineage: Eukaryota; Metazoa; Chordata; Lepidosauria; Squamata; Scincidae. The record is from RNAcentral.
UUGCUACGCCACACCCACACGGGAACUCAGCAGUGAAUAACAUUAAAACAUGAGCGAAAGCUCGAUUUAGUUAUGAUAAAUAUGGUUGGUUAAUUUCGUGCCAGCCACCGCGGUUAUACGAAAAACCAAAAACAAUGGCCUACGGCGUAAAAAGUGGCCCGAGCCUGCCAAAAAAUUAAAGAAUAAUCACAACAAAGUUGUAAAACACUUGUAUGUGGGACCCUCAACAACAAAAUGACUUUAAACUAACGGCUUCUUACCCCCACGAAAGCUAAGAAACAAACUAGGAUUAGAUACCCUACUAUGCUUAGCCCUUAACAUAGACAAUACAAACACAAUAUUGUCCGCCAGAGAACUACAAGUGAAAAACUAGAAACUCCAAGGACUUGGCGGUGCCCCAUAUCAACCUAGAGGAGCCUGUCCUAUAAUCGAUAAUCCACGCUGUACCUUACCAUUUCUUGCAACUCAGGCUAUAUACCGCCGUCGAAAGCCUACCUUAUGAAAGAAACAAAGUAAGCAAAAUAGUCAACAACAAAAACGUCAGGCCAAGGWGUAGCAUAUGARAUGGAAGAGAUGGGCUACAUUUUCUACCUCAGAAAACACGAACAGCACRAUGAAAUCUGUACUCA